RNAcentral lists this transfer RNA (74 nucleotides) under Spirochaetaceae bacterium. RNAcentral describes it as "tRNA-Arg". It matches the Rfam family "tRNA". From Rfam's summary of the family: Transfer RNA (tRNA) molecules are approximately 80 nucleotides in length. Their secondary structure includes four short double-helical elements and three loops (D, anti-codon, and T loops). Lineage: Bacteria; Pseudomonadati; Spirochaetota; Spirochaetia; Spirochaetales; Spirochaetaceae. The record is from RNAcentral.
GUGCCCAUAGCUCAGCUGGAUAGAGCGCUAGAUUGCGGAUCUAGAGGUCGGAGGUUCGAGUCCUCUUGGGCACG